This 471-nucleotide ribosomal RNA is filed under the name Salmonella enterica subsp. enterica serovar Corvallis. RNAcentral's name for it is "partial 23S ribosomal RNA". It matches the Rfam family "Bacterial large subunit ribosomal RNA", at positions 911 to 1297 of the family's 2925-position model. Lineage: Bacteria; Pseudomonadati; Pseudomonadota; Gammaproteobacteria; Enterobacterales; Enterobacteriaceae. The record is from RNAcentral.
UGUUUCGGCUAGGGGGCCAUCCCGGCUUACCAACCCGAUGCAAACUGCGAAUACCGGAGAAUGUUAUCACGGGAGACACACGGCGGGUGCUAACGUCCGUCGUGAAGAGGGAAACAACCCAGACCGCCAGCUAAGGUCCCAAAGUCAUGGUUAAGUGGGAAACGAUGUGGGAAGGCCCAGACAGCCAGGAUGUUGGCUUAGAAGCAGCCAUCAUUUAAAGAAAGCGUAAUAGCUCACUGGUCGAGUCGGCCUGCGCGGAAGAUGUAACGGGGCUAAACCAUGCACCGAAGCUGCGGCAGCGAACGUAUCACUUAAAGCGAUUCAGCGGGUUACGAUUGACGGAGCGAAGCGACGUCAAAGCGUAUACAAAGUCGAGUCGGUUUAAGGAUACGUUCGUUGGGUAGGGGAGCGUUCUGUAAGCCUGUGAAGGUGUGUCGUGAGGCAUGCUGGAGGUAUCAGAAGUGCGAAUGC